Callithrix jacchus (white-tufted-ear marmoset) is the source of this 3088-nucleotide long non-coding RNA. NCBI's taxonomy places the organism in Eukaryota, Metazoa, Chordata, Mammalia, Primates, Cebidae. The record is from Ensembl.
AGCAGUAAAUCCAGUGGAAGUUUAGAUGUUUUAUUCCCAGGGUAAGUUUCAGGGGGAAUCCCUGACUCCUGUGUCCACCACCAGCCAGACCUUACUAGACUAGUGGGCAUUACUAGAUGUGGGCAUGAAAAUAACAUGAACUACCCGAUGGACAAGUUUCCCAGACACAUUCUUGUGGUUUGCUACUUGUUUUUAGCAUUUUAGUCACCACUUUAAGUUUCUAAUUACAGGGUUUUGUUUUUAUUUUUAAAAACAAUGUGGUCUUGAUGGAGGUAAUCUCUGUAGUGUACAUUCUCUGCAUUACUCACAAUCUUUUCUUAACAAAUACAGAGUAGUUAUAGUCUGUGUAUCCUGACACUUCAGAGAAUUUAAUUUUAAUGCUGGCAAGAGUUGCAAAGGUGAUUUCUUACUGCAUAUAGUUAAGGAGAAUGCUAAGGAGAUGAAGUAGGGUGCUUGAGGACCCGAGGCUGGUUAUUAUCAGAGUUGAGACCUAGAACAUAUAUAUUUUGAAUCUCGGUUUGUUCUCUUUCUCUAUAUUUACCCAAUUUUUGUUUUGUUUUAUUUUUUGUUUUGAGAUGGAGUUUCACUCUUGUUACCCAGGAUGGAGUGCAAUGGCGCGAUCUCAGCUCACUGCAACCUCCGCCUCCUGGGUUCAAGCAAUUCUCCUGCCUCAGCCUCCCGAGUAGCUGGGACUACAGCUUCACAACUCACCUUGGUGCAUCUCUGUCCCACACGGGAUUCAGAAGUCUAAUCAGGAAUGUAAUUAGGAACAUGAUGCAGAUGGGCAAGGCCUGUCCCUUCCUUCUUCAGCUGCUGUGUGGUGCCAGGUAAAAUACUUAAAUUAGUUUUUCUCAUGUUUUCAAAUUAGCCAAGAAGUUUACUUAUGUAGAGACAGUUCUUAGGCACUCCAUUUUAUAUUUUGAAGACAAAGCUAAAGUUGGCUGCAGCUGUGAAUUGGAACAAGGAAAAACCUGAGAGGCAUUGGUUGAUUGUUCUUAAAACUAAUUUACUGUUUCUUUUCUUGUCUAUUUCCUUGCAGGCCUGUAAUCUAGUAGGAAAGGGCAUAUGCAUUAGCAGAAAAAUGUAUGACACAAAUAAUGCUUUUAAUGUGCAUUGACAACUUUGUCUGCUAUACACUCUAUCAAUACAUUUGACUAAAAUGCCUUAUUUGGCCUUUCCCUUAAGUUUUUCCAGAUCUAGAAUUUGGCGCUAGCCUGGCCAAUCUGGUGAAAUCUGGUCUCUACUAAAAAUACGAAAAUUAGCAGGGUGCGGUGGUGCGUGCCUGUAAUCCCAGCUACUCUGGAAGCUGAGGCAGGAGAAUCGCUUGAACCCAGGAGGUAGAAGUUGCAGUGAGCCAAGAUUGUGCCACUGCACUCCAGCCUGUGCGGCAGAGCAAGACUGUCUCAUUAAAGAAAAAAGAAGAAUUUGGCAAUUAUUUUCAGCAUUUUAAAGAUGCCAUCCCAUUAUCUUCUGGAUUCUGCCAUUUCUUCUGAAAGAUCAGCUACAGUGUAACUGUUGCUCCUUUGAGUGUGAGGUGUCCUCACCCUCAGCUGUUUUGAAGAUUCCCCUGUGUUUUUUAUUUUCAGCAUGUUGUGCCCAUGAGGUUUUCAGCAAGAUGUCACUCUGAUGUAUCUCAGCGUGUAUUUUUUGCCUUCUGAAUUUAUUCUCCUUCAAUCUUAUAGAGCUUCUUAGAUCUGUGGAUUAAUGUUGUAAGCAUUUUGGGAAAAUUUCUAGCCAGUGUCUCUCUGUAAGUAUUGUUGGUGCGCCUUUAUUCCAGAGCCCCUUUUCCGGAAUUCUAAUUCCAUGUCCAUUAGACCUUAUCAGGGUGUCUUGUGUUUUUCAGUCUAUGUGUUCACUUAUUUGUGGUUUCUUUUUCUCCAAAUUCUUUGCGUCUCCAGUUCUGAGGCCUCAGUAGUCCCGGACUCCAGGUUUUGGAGUGAAGCCUCCUGAACACUCUGAGUCUCUGGUUUUGUGUUAAAGUGUUGUUUGGGAAGUAGCAGAUGCUUGAAGGAGAGAAGAAAGGAAUGAUGUUGGACUCCCCUGUGGGGGCUUUUGCCCUGGGAUCAUUGCCCCUCCAGCACUGGCUGACUUGGUUAUUCUCUGUUGUCUUUCAACAGCUUGUUUUGUAUUUUGUGCAGCUUUUGUAGUUAAGAUGUAGGACAAGGUGAUUGGAUUGAUGCAAGUUACUCCAUCUGUGCCAGAAAUGGAAGUUCUGUGUUAAGAAGUUUGAGUUGGAAGUUCCAUUUCUUUUCUUUGGUUUCAUUUUUCCUACUCAGGUAUUACUGAGGCUAGAGUACUGAAAUUAAAAUUUUAAAAACUGGAUUUUCAUUCCAGGACCAAUAGAAAAUUGCUUUCUGAUGAUGAGCCUUCUGGUUUCAAUUUUUCUGUCUGUAAAAUCUCAUCUACACAAUCUCAUCUACAUAAUUUUCAGGGUUAUUACCUUUUUUUAAGAGUAGAAAGAGUUUUUGUUUUUUUCUGAUAAAAUGCUCCCAUUAUUCUUCCUCAUUUUUUCGUAAGCUCCAUGGGGAAUUGAGAAAUGAAUUCUUAAUUAAAAAUCUUACAAUAAGAGCCAGCGGCAGCAGUCAUCCUUACACUGUGUCAUGCCGGUGUUUACCACCUCCCCACCCUCAAAGAACAUGGGAAAGAAGGACGAGCAGAUGCUAACUCAGUGUGAAGCCAUAGUUGGAGUGCAGCGGGUGUUGAAUUUGUAAUGUUUGUUAAGGCCUGAGUCUGCACAGCAUUUGGAGGAGAUUCCAGGUAUGUUUUAAGAGGAAAGAGAUAUGCAUGUGUUUACAGAGGUGACUCUUACCUUUGUGGAACAUCUGCGCCCAUUUCAGAAAACCACAGCGUUAUGAGAGUAGAUACGUGCCUGUUAAUUUGAGCACUGCUAAGUACAUAAAUAGAUGAGCCACUAAUGUACACAGCUUGGUCAUCUCAGUAAGCCAAAAUUGAGUCAACCUUUUUCCAGGUUAACCUAAUCUAAAAAUAACACUUUCAUCUCUUAUUAAUAGGCUGGUUGUUAUCUAAUGUUUUGCUGUGGGUUCGGGGCUCCAGAAUAAAUCAUGCUUUGAUUAUAGGGUGGAUCAAG